Long non-coding RNA from Sapajus apella (tufted capuchin), 6056 nucleotides. RefSeq lists it as uncharacterized. The record is from RefSeq and is a predicted model, not a curated record. The transcript has 2 exons. NCBI's taxonomy places the organism in Eukaryota, Metazoa, Chordata, Mammalia, Primates, Cebidae.
AACAUGGGGAGAAAUGCCAGAUGUAGGUGAUGUAGGGAUGGAGGCAGCAAACCACAUUGCCAUGGGUGUACCUAUGCAAAAAUCUUGCAUGUUCUGCACAUGUACCCCAGAACCUAAACUGCAAUUAUAUGUAUGGAUAAAGAAAAGCAUGGCAAUGUAAAGCAGGACUGAAUAGUAACUAUGUGAUUGUCUAUUUAGCACAAAGAGGAUUGGUGCUAACAAGAGACAGUGUAAUGCUUAUUAGCAUUUAGUAAGUAAUACCACAUACUGUGAAAUGGUAGUAUUGAUUGUUUUUGACUUGACAAUAAAACCUUUUAUCUUUAACCUAAUAUGGACUCUAGACCAAGAUGCUAAUUCGUAAUACUAUUUUGUAAAAAAAAAAUAGAUGACAUUUGAUUAUGUAAAAGUCAUAGAAUAAGCUUGGCGCAGUAGCUCACACCUGUAAUCCCAACACUUUGGGACGCUGAGAGGGCCAGAUCACUUGAGCCCAGGAGUUGGAGACCAGCCUGGAAUACAGGAUGAAAACUCUUCUCUGCAAUAAAUACAAAUACUAGCGGGGUAUAGUGGCUUACGCCCAGGGGGCAGAGGUUGCAGUGAGCCAAGAUCGUCCCACUGCACUCCUACCUGGGUAACAGAGUGAGACCCUGUCUCCAAAAAAAAAAGGAAAGAAAGGUCAUAGAAUAUCAGACUUGCAAAUGUGAUUCAUACUCUGCCAGUCAUUUCAGGGUACAUUUUCCUUCCCCAUUUUGUAGACUUUGCUCCUUACUCAAAGGUUGGUUGUUUCUCAGAUCAGACAAAGGAGCAGCUGUUAUUUAACUAUAGACCCAGCUUCAUCUGAUCGAGUUGCAAAACAUAUUGACAGAUGAUAUGCAAAGUUUUGGAGGAUUUAUGUUUAUUAGAAAGAAUGUAAUAGCUUCAGUUUGUAUGGUAUCUGAACUGAACGAUAACAAUAUUAUUAUAUCCUACAGGUACAUAAGUACAGUGGCCAGAUCAUACUAUAUAACUAUAUAGUAUAUAGUAUAGAUGUGGAGAAUACAUAUAUAAUGCAAAACCUAAUCCUAUUUGCCUAGUUAAUAAUUUAAUAUACUAUUUAUAUUUCACUAUAAUUCUCCCAUUACUCACUAUUAAAGUGAGCCCAGCCCAUAAAGCUCGAGUUCUUUGGAAAGAUAUAAAAUUUCAAGAUGUCAGCUAUCCUCAUUUCCUGUACUCCUCCCCUUGUGUUUUAAACUCUAGCAGAAUCACAUGACAUAUAUUUUCCUCCAAAUACUAUGCUUAUUUUCAUCAUCAUUAUUAAUAAUAAAGCAAUCAUCUGUGAAGGUGUCAGAUACUAAGAGUGUUAAAUGAAUUUCCAUGGCUGCAUUUAAUUCUCAAAAGAACCUAAUAAGAAGUAUGUAUUAUCCCUACUCUACCAAAGAGGAAUUGAGAUUUUGAGAGUUUAAAUACACAAAGCAGGGUUUCAUAGCUAGUACAAUGUAGAACCUUAAUUCAAAUCCAGAUAUGUUUAGCUUUAGAGCUGCCUCUCCUAAUCACUAAGUUAACUAGACUCUCCUUAUUUUGCAUAUGCUGUUCCCUCUACCUGGGAUGCCCUUCUCUUCAAUUUUAAUAGGGGUCUUAAUUCUAAGCAACAAAAAUCAUUUAUUGAUUUAAUCAGAAUUGAAUUUAUUAAAAGGAUAUUGAGGAGUUCACAGAAUCUCCAGGGGUACCAAAUUCAGGCCAUGGAGUUAUAGUCAAUUGUGUCCAUAGAUUGUGUGCCACUGACAUCACCACUAGCACUACUAACCUUGGGUCAUAGAUGUAAUAACAAGUGCUACUGCCACUUGUCAUACUGCAUCCAUUUCUCUUUGCCACCAGAGAGAGGGCCUCCAGUUCAUUCCUUUGGAUCAUUAGUUUCUAAUUUCAAGCCAGGUAAAGGUGCAUCUGAUUGUUGGAACCUCAAUGACCAGCCCAUGCUCUGGCUGCAGGGGAGGCCAGGAAAACAAGAAUCAAACAUUAUGAACCUAUGUGAUGGUGUAUCAAGGUUUAAAAUAUGGAGAAUUCCUUCAAAUAAGAAGGGAUUCUGAGAAUAGUGAGAAAUUAUAUUAUACUAGGCUGCCAAAAAGAAUGACACAUGUCUACCACAGCCUUUCUUUGACUACCUGCAAACUUAUUUGUCCUUUAAAAACAUCCAUGCAGCCUCCUAUUAUAACUUAUACUUUCUAAUACUGCAUAGUUUUUGAUGGCUUGCUUUUUAUGGACUCUUAAGUAUUACUUGUCUAUGUAACUGACUCCUCUCUACCUUUUCUCAAGUAGCUUGUAGCCUCUUAUUGAUGUUGGUACUCCCUAACAUCUACUCAGGAUAGUGUUCAGUAUGUAGUAAAUACUAAGUAAAUGGUUGAACAGCAUUGGUGCAUAAAUUGUCCCUACUCACCAUCAGUACUAGAAUGUCAGGUCCAUAAGAGGCAGGGGUUUUUGUCUUUGUCUGUCUCUCUCUCUCUCUCUUUUAACCACCAUAUGGCCAGCACCUAGAUUAAUUCCUAGCAUGUGGUAAGUCUGUGGUAAAUAUUUGUUAAAUAUUUGCUAAAUAAGUAAAUACUCCUAAAUAGUAUAUUAUUUAUCUAUCUCUGGGAAUAAGGCCUUUAAAUGUGAAUGGGAAACUCAAAGCACCAUAUUAUAAUUUACAACUAGACCACAAACAGUGAUGACAGAAACUGCCUUAUUCAUCUUUAGUUACCUCUUCUUUCUAUCCAGAAACAUAAAAGGCAAUUUGAAAUUCUUUCCUAGACCUACUGUGAUAGUUACUAGCCACAAAAAUUGCCUGAAGUACCUACCAUAUACCUACUAAACAUGAAACCUUUUUGGUCUCCUUUUAUGUAUAACGAGUUGUAUCCUGAGAUUGCAUCUACUGUGGGAAGAAGAGGCUGUUGGACAAACUGUCUUGUACUUAUGUUUAAAAAAGUAUAAUAACCUAGGGCAGUAGCAUUUCACUUUGAAGAAAUGAAGAAAUGGAGGUCCUUAAUUGUGAAAUGAUUCGUAUGAAUGUAAAACACUUAGAAUUCCUGGCGUAAAUUGGCCUUCUAAAUGUUAGCUGUACUUUUUAUUGUACAGUACAUUGAAAACAGUCCUUCAGACUUUUUACUUAACUGCUCCCAAACCUUUUAAAUUCUUCAUUACCUCUAAUCCUCUCAAUUCUGAUGAUAAGCAGUGUUACCCUACUUUACAAAUAAAAAACCUGAAUCUGAGAUGAGGUUAAGUUGUUUGCUCAGUGGUCACACAGCUGAGAAGUCCUAGUUAGCUGGGAUUCAAACCCAGACCUAUCUUAUUUUUGAAACUCUUUCUAGCAUGGCAAAAUAACAUGCUAAAUGUAGGUUGAAUUUAGUUGUGUUCUACUAUAUCCUUCUAUCCACUGUUAGAUUUAAUGCAUCUUUUGCCCCUGCCACCUUUACUUCUCUUUUCUGAUUUGUAAUCUGUUUACUACUCUCUUCAGUUUAUCUCCUGGUUCUUUGGAGUAGAAAGUAAGCAUUUUGCCCAGAAGAACAAAGCACAUCCUCACAUAGUACUCUGUCCAUUUUACUUUUCCCUCUAUUUUUUCCUUAGCCUGAUUGAUUUGUACAGUGGAUUGGUUUCCAGAGAAGAAGACCUUGGUAUAUGUUAUGAGUCAGAUGAGUAAACCUAUACAUUACCCAGGAUGAGAUUUACGGGCUAAUAGCAUAUAUCCCCAAACUAAGAGUCAUUUUAGCCAGUGUAAAAGAUGAAAUACAACUUGGUUAGAAAUAAGGACAAUAGCAAAUAAUGGUAUUGAGUUGCUACAAACGCUUUGCAACCUAGUGAUGUACUUUUAUGUGUAUUAAUUACUUUUAACUUGUGCAUAAUACUGAAAAAUUCCAAAUGGAUUCCAGACAUUUAUUGCCAACAAAAAAGUUUACUUAAACUUGCUGUUUUAGAGAAUUAUUUUUCUUAGCAUAUGUUCUUUCUUGUUAAUAGCAAGCCUUUUAACAGUUACCAGAAUGUAAGCAUUUCUUAAGUUGAUGAUCUUUUGUAAUAGAGCACUUAUUUAGAAAUAUACACACUUAAAAAUUAGUGAUUAAACAGUCUUCAGGGACUAAAGCCACAAGUAGGAGGAUGCUGUUGCUUUCUGUUUCCUUAUUGCCUAACCAAUCUGCAACGGUAUCAUCCUCAUUUUCCUUCUUCUUCUUUUUUUUUCUUUGCUUUUUGUUAACCAGACAAGAGUUCAGAUCCUCUUUAUUUUUUUCUUGCCAUGCUCAUAUUAGUCUUUAACAAUGCCUCACUAAGAUGUUUCUGUUUGACUUUACAUUCACUUUUAUUUAGGUAAUAAAUAAAAAGGUGUGCUUUUGUUAAUAAGUUUACACUGGGCUUUCCCUUGUGCAAAAUAAGGUUCUUUUACAUUCAUCAGAGCUUUGUUAAUCACCCACUCUGCACCUAGCUGCGCUAGAUAGAUACUGGAAAGACAAAUAAGACCUGGUUUCUGUCACUGAGAACAUAGGGAAGGAUGUGGAAAAUUAAAUUAGACUACAGAAUGGUAAGUUCUAUCAUGUACUACAGAAGCAAAGAGAGGACUCCUCACCCAGACUUUUAGGGAAUAAAGGACAAUGUCAGGAAAGGCUUUCUAGAGGAAGUUUUCUCUGAGCUGAGUCUUGAGAACAAAUAGGAAUUAUUUAGGUAGAAGAGUGGGAGGACACUCUAGGAAAAGGGAGCAGCAGCCUGUGAGAAAGUACAGAGGUAAAAGAGCAGAUACAUGGCCCAUUUAGGGAACUGAAGUCCUGAGUGGCUUGAGUAGGGGAGGAAAAGUUACAUGAGGGUGGAACAGGGAAUGAAGAGAUUUGAGGCUGGGCUGGUCCAAAGUUGUCAAAUCAUGACGUACUUUCCGUGUUAUCCUCAGAAAUUUAUUCUAAAAGCCAUGAAGAAGUAUAUAAGCCAGGAAGUGACAUAGUGAGAUUUAUGUUUGGAAAGAUCAGUCUAGAAACUGCAGCUUACUUCUAUAAGUGUAAAUGAUCCUCAGCAAAUACAAUUAGAGGACACUCUUUGUCUCUUUAAAUCUUUGCUAUCAUUAAUUUUGGAUUAAAUGCUAAGAUAACAUAAUAAUUUAUGAAUUAGUUUCCUGUCUUCUGUUAUUAAGCAAACAUUUGAAACCUAUUUUGCUUGUUGGUAUAACUCAUAGACUUAGAUAACUAAAAUAGAGACUUGACAAAGCUACCAAUUUGUUCUGGACCUCUUGAUGGAUCUGGUGUUAGGAUAAACAAACACAAGGGCCUUCUGUGUGCCAGGUACUGUUCUAGGAACUGAAGAGAGAAAGGCGAAUGGCUUAGGCAUUCACAAUCUAGUGGAGAGACAGAUUCAUACACAAAUGCAAGUGCUGUAGAAUAAUUAUGUAUUAGAUGACCUUAUGUACAUUUUCACUUUCAGUCCUUACCUUAAACUUAACGAAGUACGGAUGAGGAAACCGAAGAUAAGAGGUAUUUAACUUACUCAAGUUCAUCUAAUAAUGAGUGGUAAAUAGCCACAAUUCAGUAUCUGAAGUACCUAACUCAAUUUUUUCCCUACCAUAUUAUACUGCUUCUCCUGACAAGGCAAUGCAUAUAUAUUUUUGAGCCUGAAGUAGUAUUCUUCCUCUCUUUUCUUAAUUCUUUGUAAUGCUACCCAAACUAGUAAUGUUGAGCCUUGAAGUAUCCAGUCGUUGGUUAAAAGUGCAGGCUCUGGCAGUCAGAUUGUCUGGAUUCCAACCCCAGCUCCAUCACUUACUCCCUGUCAGUCUACAUCAUAGAAUUGUGAGAUAAUGUCAGUAAAGCACUUACAAAAGUGAAAGCACAGGGAAAGAAUUCGAUUGAUGUUACUUAAAAUUGUCAUUGGAAUAGCAAUUCAUCUACUUUCCAAACAUUCAGGGAAUUUUGAUAAAAUGUGUUUAAACUAUCCAAUUUAAUUUAAUUUAAUCUUGGUGAGGAGCUUUUGCCUACCUUGCAUAUUUGAAAUCUUACUUCUUGUUCAGGGCAUCAGUGACCUGUGGCAAAGAUGCCACCAAAAAAAAAAAAAAAGAAAAAAAUUAGGAAAAUAUGCCUGUGAGA